GCCUCAGUAACGGCGAGUGAAGCGGCAUCAGCUCAAAUUUGAAAUCUGGCCUCACGGCCCGAGUUGUAAUUUGUAGAGAAUGCUUCGGGCGAGGUCCGGUCUAAGUUCCUUGGAACAGGACGUCAUAGAGGGUGAGAAUCCCGUAUGCGACCGGUCGCCUCUGCCCAUGUGAAGCUUCUUCGACGAGUCGAGUUGUUUGGGAAUGCAGCUCAAAAUGGGUGGUAUAUUUCAUCUAAAGCUAAAUACUGGCCAGAGACCGAUAGCGCACAAGUAGAGUGAUCGAAAGAUGAAAAGCACUUUGGAAAGAGAGUUAAACAGUACGUGAAAUUGUUGAAAGGGAAGCGCUUGCAACCAGACUUGCGCGCAGCUGAUCAUCCGGUGUUCUCACCGGUGCACUCGGUUGCGCUCAGGCCAGCAUCGGUUCUGGCGGUUGGAUAAAGGCCUUGGGAAUGUAGCUCCCCUCGGGGAGUGUUAUAGCCCUCGGUGCAAUGCAGCCUGCUGGGACCGAGGACCGCGCUUCGGCUAGGAUGCUGGCGUAAUGGUUGUAAGCGACCCGUCUUGAAACACGGACCAAGGAGUCUAACAUCUAUGCGAGUGUUUGGGCGUCAAACCCAUACGCGUAAUGAAAGUGAACGGAGGUGAGAACCCUUAAGGGUGCAUCAUCGACCGAUCCUGAUGUCUUCGGAUGGAUUUGAGUAAGAGCAUAGCUGUUGGGACCCGAAAGAUGGUGAACUAUGCCUGAAUAGGGUGAAGCCAGAGGAAACUCUGGUGGAGGCUCGCAGCGGUUCUGACGUGCAAAUCGAUCGUCAAAUUUGGGUAUAGGGGCGAAAGACUAAUCGAACCAU
This 845-nucleotide ribosomal RNA is filed under the name Tympanis abietina. Its description in RNAcentral is "partial large subunit ribosomal RNA". It matches the Rfam family "Eukaryotic large subunit ribosomal RNA", at positions 77 to 943 of the family's 3401-position model. Lineage: Eukaryota; Fungi; Ascomycota; Leotiomycetes; Leotiales; Tympanidaceae. The record is from RNAcentral.